Molecule: unclassified non-coding RNA, 228 nt
Filed under: uncultured Ascomycota
Lineage: Eukaryota; Fungi; Ascomycota
Description: sequence contains 5.8S rRNA gene, ITS2, 28S rRNA gene
Source: RNAcentral
AACGCACAUUGCGCCCUUUGGUAUUCCGAAGGGCACACCUGUUCGAGAGCCAUUUCAAAUCUAAGGCCUAGCCUUGUGUUGGUGGAUCCCUUUUGCGAGGGACUGCCUAAACUUUCGUAAGGCGCCGUCCACGGUUAGCGAAGCAGCGAAAUGCGGAGCUCCUGUUGAACGGCUGCCGGUUCCGACGAGUUUGGCCUCGGAUCAGGUGGGGAUACCCGCUGAACUUAA